Molecule: ribosomal RNA, 503 nt
Filed under: uncultured bacterium
Lineage: Bacteria
Description: partial 16S ribosomal RNA
Rfam family: Bacterial small subunit ribosomal RNA
Source: RNAcentral
AUUGAACGCUGGCGGCAGGCUUAACACAUGCAAGUCGAGCGGGGUGAUGGUGCUUGCACUAUCACUUAGCGGCGGACGGGUGAGUAAUGCUUAGGAAUCUGCCUAUUAGUGGGGGACAACAUCUCGAAAGGGAUGCUAGUACCGCAUACGUCCUACGGGAGAAAGCAGGGGAUCACUUGUGACCUUGCGCUAAUAGAUGAGCCUAAGUCGGAUUAGCUAGUUGGUGGGGUAAAGGCCUACCAAGGCGACGAUGUGUAGCGGGUCUGAGAGGAUGAACCGCCACACUGGGACUGAGCCACGGCCCAGACUCCUCCGGGAGGCAGCAGUGGGGAAUAUUGGACAAUGGGGGGAACCCUGAUCCAGCCAUGCCGCGUGUGUGAAGAAGGCCUUAUGGUUGUAAAGCACUUUAAGCGAGGAGGAGGCUCUUUUGGUUAAUACCCAAGAUGAGUGGACGUUACUCGCAGAAUCAGCACCGGCUAACUCUGUGCCAGCAGCCGCCGUAA